GCAGAAGUAAGAUUUCUUAUAUUCUUGGUUGUCAUACAUUGAUUGUGUUUUGAUUCUUAGAAAGUUGGUAACUAUAUUAUAUUGUCCCUAGUCCCCUCCUCUUCUGUGGUUGUUUGACACUCUGUGUAAUGAAAUGAAUAGGCUUCAAAGACAUAUUGUGCUUUCCAAAUUGGAUAAAGAUAUGUAUCUAUAUUUAUGUCUACACUGAUUCAACUCAUUUGCUUCAUUGUGGGCAUUUGUGGGUGUAUAUAUUUUCUAGAUUUCUCCCUUUUUGGUAUUGAUGUUUUAUUUUUUGAGGAUCAUGUUUUUAAGUUGAAACCUGUCAAUUUGGUUCAUGUACUAUUUAUGCGCUUAAUGAGUUAUUAGCACUAGACUUCUACCUAAGAUCACGGUGUGGAAUUUAGUUUGAUGCCAUGAUUAGUGAGCUGAUAUUAAGGUUUUAUACUUUUAAAUUAAAGUUUUGUACUUUUUAAGUUUUAGUUACUAUUGGUCAUUGCAUAUCCAUGUUGCAGCUUGCCCCCUUUGAUCCUACCA
RNAcentral lists this unclassified non-coding RNA (534 nucleotides) under Hevea brasiliensis (rubber tree). The record is from RNAcentral. Lineage: Eukaryota; Viridiplantae; Streptophyta; Magnoliopsida; Malpighiales; Euphorbiaceae.